GCUCGUGAUGACUGAGAUUUUUUCACUUUGACCUGAUGUCUCUUGAAAAAACCCAGUGUCUGAGA
This is a small nucleolar RNA of Fukomys damarensis (Damara mole-rat), 65 nucleotides long. NCBI's taxonomy places the organism in Eukaryota, Metazoa, Chordata, Mammalia, Rodentia, Bathyergidae. The record is from Ensembl.